GAUGAACGCUGGCGGCGUGCCUAAUACAUGCAAGUCGAGCGAACGGACUAGAAGCUUGCUUCUCUGAUGUUAGCGGCGGACGGGUGAGUAACACGUGGAUAACCUACCUAUAAGACUGGGAUAACUUCGGGAAACCGGCGCUAAUACCUGAUAAUAUUUUGAACCGCAUGGUUCAAAAGUGAAAGACGGUCUUGCUGUCACUUAUAGAUGGAUCCGCGCUGCAUUAGCUAGUUGGUAAGGUAACGGCUUACCAAGGCAACGAUGCAUAGCCGACCUGAGAGGGUGAUCGGCCACACUGGAACUGAGACACGGUCCAGACUCCUACGGGAGGCAGCAGUAGGGAAUCUUCCGCAAUGGGCGAAAGCCUGACGGAGCAACGCCGCGUGAGUGAUGAAGGUCUUCGGAUCGUAAAACUCUGUUAUUAGGGAAGAACAUAUGUGUAAGUAACUGUGCACAUCUUGACGGUACCUAAUCAGAAAGCCACGGCUAACUACGUG
Molecule: ribosomal RNA, 497 nt
Filed under: uncultured bacterium
Lineage: Bacteria
Description: partial 16S ribosomal RNA
Rfam family: Bacterial small subunit ribosomal RNA
Source: RNAcentral